This 264-nucleotide ribosomal RNA is filed under the name uncultured archaeon. RNAcentral describes it as "partial 16S ribosomal RNA". It matches the Rfam family "Archaeal small subunit ribosomal RNA", at positions 719 to 982 of the family's 1478-position model. The record is from RNAcentral.
AGUCACUGACAUUAGAUACCCGGGUAGUCCCAGCCGUAAACUAUGCGCGUUAGGUGUAUCGGUGACCACGAGUUACCGAGGUGCCGAAGGGAAACCGUGAAACGUGCCGCCUGGGAAGUACGGUCGCAAGGCUGAAACUUAAAGGAAUUGGCGGGGAGCACCACAACAGGUGGAGCCUGCGGUUUAAUUGGAUUCAACACCGUAAAACUCACCAGGGAAGACUGUUACAUGAAAGCCGAUUUGAAGACUCUGCUAGAUUUUCAG